GACGAACGCUGGCGGCGUGCUUAACACAUGCAAGUCGAACGGAAAGGCCCUGCUUUUGUUGGUUGCUCGAGUGGCGAACGGGUGAGUAACACGUGAGUAACCUGCCCUUGACUUUGGGAUAACUUCAGGAAACUGGGGCUAAUACCGGAUAGGAGCUCCUGCUGCAUGGUGGUGGUUGGAAAGUUUCGGCGGUUGGGGAUGGACUCGCGGCUUAUCCGCUUGUUGGUGGGGUAGUGGCUUACCAAGGCUUUGACGGGUAGCCGGCCUGAGAGGGUGACCGGCCACAUUGGGACUGAGAUACGGAGCAGACGCGUACGGGAGGCAGCAGUGGGGAAUAUUGCACAAUGGGCGGAAGCCUGAGGCAGCAACGCCGCGUGCGGGAUGACGGCCUUCGGGUGGUAAACCGCUUUCGCCUGUGACGAAGAGUGAGUGACGGUAAUGGGUAAAGAAGCACCGGCUAACUACGUG
Molecule: ribosomal RNA, 468 nt
Filed under: uncultured bacterium
Lineage: Bacteria
Description: partial 16S ribosomal RNA
Rfam family: Bacterial small subunit ribosomal RNA
Source: RNAcentral